AGCGACGUUCGCCGAGAGGGUAAGUAGACAAAACUCAUUUCCAAAUUCACAAUUAAACCGAACUAAUGUGCAUGCGUGCGUGUUAAUUGUGUCAUUUCUGUUCACAGGUGCAAAUCUUCAAAUGGACUAACACGGGCCACUCGCUGCUUUGCAUCUGCUACAGAAUGGCCGAAUUGACUGCAACACGGCUCACGUCGACAGAACGACCCAUAAAAUGGCUGCCAUCCUGUGGAGUUUUGGGCCCUGGCUUCACGAGGCUAUGGCAGGUCUUUGACAUGUC
Long non-coding RNA from Hippocampus comes (tiger tail seahorse), 280 nucleotides. RefSeq lists it as uncharacterized. The record is from RefSeq and is a predicted model, not a curated record. The transcript has 3 exons. Lineage: Eukaryota; Metazoa; Chordata; Actinopteri; Syngnathiformes; Syngnathidae.